UCCAGACUCCUACGGGAGGCAGCAGUGAGGAAUAUUGGUCAAUGGGCGGGAGCCUGAACCAGCCAGGUCGCGUGAGGGAUGACGGCCCUAUGGGUUGUAAACCUCUUUUGCCGGGGAGCAAAGUGCCGCACGUGUGCGGUUUGGAGAGUACCCGGAGAAAAAGCAUCGGCUAACUCCGUGCCAGCAGCCGCGGUAAUACGGAGGAUGCGAGCGUUAUCCGGAUUUAUUGGGUUUAAAGGGUGCGUAGGCGGGCUUUUAAGUCAGCGGUAAAAAUUCGGGGCUCAACCCCGUCCGGCCGUUGAAACUGGGGGCCUUGAGUGGGCGAGAAGAAGGCGGAAUGCGUGGUGUAGCGGUGAAAUGCAUAGAUAUCACGCAGAACCCCGAUUGCGAAGGCAGCUUACUAAACUGUGACUGACAUUGAUGCUCGAAAGUGUGGGUAUCAAACAGGAUUAGAUACCCUUGUA
Molecule: ribosomal RNA, 464 nt
Filed under: uncultured bacterium
Lineage: Bacteria
Description: partial 16S ribosomal RNA
Rfam family: Bacterial small subunit ribosomal RNA
Source: RNAcentral